UCACUUCCUCAGUGCAGAUACUAAACUUGGAGUGAUAGAGAAGGUCACAGAAGGCCCCUGUGCAAGGAUGUCACGUAAAUUCAUAUAGCGUUCUGUAUUUUU
Myodes glareolus (Bank vole) is the source of this 102-nucleotide small nuclear RNA. The record is from RefSeq and is a predicted model, not a curated record. Lineage: Eukaryota; Metazoa; Chordata; Mammalia; Rodentia; Cricetidae.